AAGGCUCUAUAUAAUUGACAGCUGUAUUAAAUGGGCUUAUAAUUAUGACGGUGGGAAAACAUUUAAACGCAGAAGAAAAUUUUGCAUUAGCUGCAUAAGCUACGUCCCUCAUACUUGUGCCUACCAAGUGUGAAUGGACGUCAAACAGUAGGCUGGUCUAAUUUAGUUGUUCAUAUGAAUUAGGCGAGACAAUAUGAACUGGGGUUGUGUAGCUUGUCUGUGAGCGAUAGCAACCCGAGAUCUCAAUCAUAGACUGUGCUCGGAGAAGUCUAUAUGGCAACACUCUUGGACAGGGGUUCGACUCCCCUCAUCUCCACCA
Molecule: transfer-messenger RNA, 319 nt
Filed under: Veillonella sp.
Lineage: Bacteria; Bacillati; Bacillota; Negativicutes; Veillonellales; Veillonellaceae
Rfam family: transfer-messenger RNA
About the family: Bacterial tmRNA, also known as 10Sa RNA or SsrA, is named for its dual tRNA and mRNA-like properties.
Source: RNAcentral